GAUGAACGCUAGCUACAGGCUUAACACAUGCAAGUCGAGGGGAACGACAUCGAAAGCUUGCUUUUGAUGGGCGUCGACCGGCGCACGGGUGAGUAACGCGUAUCCAACCUGCCCACCACUUGGGGAUAACCUUGCGAAAGUAAGACUAAUACCCGAUGAUAUCCCUAGACGACAUCUGAAAGGGAUUAAAGAUUUAUCGGUGAUGGAUGGGGAUGCGUCUGAUUAGCUUGUUGGCGGGGUAACGGCCCACCAAGCCCACGAUCAGUAGGGGUUCUGAGAGGAAGGUCCCCCACAUUGGAACUGAGACACGGUCCAAACUCCUACGGGAGGCAGCAGUGAGGAAUAUUGGUCAAUGGACGGAAGUCUGAACCAGCCAAGUAGCGUGCAGGAUGACGGCCCUAUGGGUUGUAAACUGCUUUUAUGUGGGAAUAAAGUGAGGGACGUGUCCCUUUUUGUAGGUACCACAUGAAUAAGGACCGGCUAAUUCCGUG
RNAcentral lists this ribosomal RNA (491 nucleotides) under uncultured bacterium. Its description in RNAcentral is "bacterial SSU rRNA". It matches the Rfam family "Bacterial small subunit ribosomal RNA", at positions 28 to 507 of the family's 1533-position model. The record is from RNAcentral.